GGCCUACGGGGGGCAGCAGUGGGGAAUAUUGCACAAUGGGGGGAACCCUGAUGCAGCGACGCCGCGUGAGUGAAGAAGUAUUUCGGUAUGUAAAGCUCUAUCAGCAGGAAAGAUAAUGACGGUACCUGACUAAGAAGCCCCGGCUAACUACGUGCCAGCAGCCGCGGUAAUACGUAGGGGGCAAGCGUUAUCCGGAUUUACUGGGUGUAAAGGGAGCGUAGACGGCGAGACAAGUCUGGAGUGAAAGGCCGGGGCCCAACCCCGGGACUGCUCUGGAAACUGCCUGGCUGGAGUACAGGAGAGGG
This 305-nucleotide ribosomal RNA is filed under the name uncultured bacterium. RNAcentral's name for it is "bacterial SSU rRNA". It matches the Rfam family "Bacterial small subunit ribosomal RNA", at positions 335 to 658 of the family's 1533-position model. The record is from RNAcentral.